RNAcentral lists this ribosomal RNA (468 nucleotides) under uncultured bacterium. RNAcentral describes it as "partial 16S ribosomal RNA". It matches the Rfam family "Bacterial small subunit ribosomal RNA", at positions 28 to 507 of the family's 1533-position model. The record is from RNAcentral.
GACGAACGCUGGCGGCGUGCUUAACACAUGCAAGUCGAACGGAAAGACCCUGCUUUUGUGGGGUGCUCGAGUGGCGAACGGGUGAGUAACACGUGAGUAACCUGCCCUUGACUUUGGGAUAACUUCAGGAAACUGGGGCUAAUACCGGAUAGGAGCUCCUGCUGCAUGGUGGGGGUUGGAAAGUUUCGGCGGUUGGGGAUGGACUCGCGGCUUAUCAGCUUGUUGGUGGGGUAGUGGCUUACCAAGGCUUUGACGGGUAGCCGGCCUGAGAGGGUGACCGGCCACAUUGGGACUACGAUACGGCCCAGACUCCUACGGGGGGCAGCAGGGGGGAAUAUUGCACAAUGGGCGGAAGCCUGAGGCGGCAACGCCGCGUGCGGGAUGACGGCCUUCGGGUUGUAAACCGCUUUCGCCUGUGACGAAGCGUGAGUGACGGUAAUGGGUAAAGAAGCACCGGCUAACUACGUG